This 483-nucleotide ribosomal RNA is filed under the name uncultured bacterium. RNAcentral's name for it is "partial 16S ribosomal RNA". It matches the Rfam family "Bacterial small subunit ribosomal RNA", at positions 28 to 523 of the family's 1533-position model. The record is from RNAcentral.
GAUGAACGCUGGCGGCGUGCCUAAUACAUGCAAGUCGAGCGAACCACUUCGGUGGUGAGCGGCGAACGGGUGAGUAACACGUAGGUGAUCUGCCCAUCAGACGGGGACAACGAUUGGAAACGAUCGCUAAUACCGGAUAGGACGAAAGUUUAAAGGUGCUUCUGGCACCGCUGAUGGAUGAGCCUGCGGCGCAUUAGCUAGUUGGUAGGGUAAAGGCCUACCAAGGCGACGAUGCGUAGCCGACCGGAGAGGGUGAACGGCCACACUGGGACUGAGACACGGCCCAGACUCCUACGGGAGGCAGCAGUAGGGAAUCUUCGUCAAUGGGGGGAACCCUGAACGAGCAAUGCCGCGUGAGUGAGGAAGGUCUUCGGAUCGUAAAGCUCUGUUGUAAGAGAAAAACGACAUUCAUAGGGAAUGAUGAGUGAGUGAUGGUAUCUUACCAGAAAGUCACGGCUAACUACGUGCCAGCCGCCGCGGUAA